AAUAUUUAGGUAGGUCAUUGAGC
Molecule: non-coding RNA, 23 nt
Filed under: Cricetulus griseus (Chinese hamster)
Lineage: Eukaryota; Metazoa; Chordata; Mammalia; Rodentia; Cricetidae
Source: RNAcentral